CCUUUCAUAAAAACCAUUUACUUAAUGCUUAGUAAACAUAUUCUUUAUGCUAGUAAACAAAAGAAUAAUUACUGGAUAUUAGUUCUAUUUCAACUAUAUCUACUCCAACAAUUGUAGUUCCCUACAAAGCAAAAUGUUCACCUGCAAAGUCUUUUUUUCCCUUGCGAUGUAUGUUGCCUCACACAUAUGUUUUUCUCGAGCAACUCACACGUUUUCUUGCUGGUCAGAUGUCAUACAUAACAAAUUCGAAGAAAGAUUCAAGUGAGUUAACUAAUAUUAAAAAAUAAAAUAAGCAUACGAAAGUAAACACUGUCACGUAGAAGCUUGCUUAUAUUGAGCCCAUCCAGAAAUAAAACUAAGAAAUUUAGAAUUGAUUCUCUGAAACAAAGAUUUUCUUUCAAAUUCCUCAAAUUUUGACAGAGAAAAAGGGGUAAAGGAAACCCAGAAAGACUAUCUCUCUGUCUAAUGAAAAUUGCUAGAAAUUGUGAAGAUUAUGUCGAGAAAAUGAUUAGUAGCGACACAUAUACAUCUACCCAUCACAAUUUCUAAAUGAAGUGGAGGAUGAAACCACUCAAUACCAAUCAAUCAACACAUAACAAUACAAUUUAAAUAAGAAACUAAAUGUAUAAAUAUAUAUAUAUAUAUAUUAGACACGAAACAAAAGGGACAUUGCAUUUUAUUAAAUAAAAAGAUAGAUAUAUAUAUAUAUAUAUAAAGGGUGAUGAAGGAAACCUGAAGAUUUAGAUCCAGUGAGCCAAAAUGAACAAAACCUGAUGAUCACUUUAUAUUUUCUAAUUUCCGAAGCCAUCAAGAAAUCGUUGGUUUUCUCUUGUUUGUGCCCGUUCCUGACCUAGGGUGGGA
RNAcentral lists this long non-coding RNA (861 nucleotides) under Capsicum annuum. RNAcentral describes it as "long non-coding RNA (CANN_LNC009710)". Lineage: Eukaryota; Viridiplantae; Streptophyta; Magnoliopsida; Solanales; Solanaceae. The record is from RNAcentral.